GCCUGGCUGGCUCAGUUUGUGGAGCAUGGGACUCUUGAUCUUGGGGUUGUGAGUUCAAGCCUCAUGUUGGGUG
RNAcentral lists this transfer RNA (73 nucleotides) under Ailuropoda melanoleuca (giant panda). It matches the Rfam family "tRNA". From Rfam's summary of the family: Transfer RNA (tRNA) molecules are approximately 80 nucleotides in length. Their secondary structure includes four short double-helical elements and three loops (D, anti-codon, and T loops). Further hydrogen bonds mediate the characteristic L-shaped molecular structure. tRNAs have two regions of fundamental functional importance: the anti-codon, which is responsible for specific mRNA codon recognition, and the 3' end, to which the tRNAs corresponding amino acid is attached (by aminoacyl-tRNA synthetases). tRNAs cope with the degeneracy of the genetic code in two manners: having more than one tRNA (with a specific anti-codon) for a particular amino acid; and 'wobble' base-pairing, i.e. permitting non-standard base-pairing at the 3rd anti-codon position. Lineage: Eukaryota; Metazoa; Chordata; Mammalia; Carnivora; Ursidae. The record is from Rfam by way of RNAcentral.